GACGAACGCUGGCGGCAUGCCUAACACAUGCAAGUCUAGGGGUAGCAAUACCACUGGCGCACGGGUGAGUAACACGUAGGUUAUCUGCCCCCAUCACAGACAUAACCCCGGGAAACCGGGGCUAAUAUCUGAUGAGGUCGCGAGAUCAAAGCUUCGGCGGAUGGGGAUGAGCCUGCGGCUGAUUAGCUAGUUGGUGAGGUAAUGGCUCACCAAGGCGACGAUCAGUAGCUGGUCUGAGAGGACGAACAGCCACACUGGAACUGAGACACGGUCCAGACUCCUACGGGAGGCAGCAGUGAGGAAUAUUGGUCAAUGGGAGCAAUCCUGAACCAGCAAUGCCGCGUGUGGGAUGACAGGGCUUCGCCUUGUAAACCACUGUCGGACGGGACGAAAGGAGGCCUCGGGCCUCUGGGACGGUACCGUCAAAGGAAGGGUCGGCUAACUACGUGCCAGCAGCCGCG
This 461-nucleotide ribosomal RNA is filed under the name uncultured bacterium. RNAcentral's name for it is "bacterial SSU rRNA". It matches the Rfam family "Bacterial small subunit ribosomal RNA", at positions 28 to 519 of the family's 1533-position model. The record is from RNAcentral.